CCUACGGGAGGCAGCAGUAAGGAAUAUUGGACAAUGCUCGCAAGAGUGAUCCAGCCAUGCCGCGUGCAGGAAGGAUGCCCUAUGGGUAGUAAACUGCUUUUGAACUAGAGAAAAUCCCAGUACGUGUACUGGGCUGAUAGUAUAGUUAGAAUAAGCAUCGGCUAACUUCGUGCCAGCAGCCGCGGUAAGACGAAGGAUGCAAGCGUUAUCCGGAUUCAUUGGGUUUAAAGGGAGCGUAGGUGGACUGAUAAGUCAGUGGUGAAAUCUCCGAGCUUAACUCGGAAAUUGCCAUUGAUACUGUUGGUCUUGAGUACAGUUGCUGUGGGCGGAAUAUGACAUGUAGUGGUGAAAUACAUAGAGAUGUCAUAGAACACCGAUUGCGAAGGCAGCUCACAAAGCUGUAACUGACACUGAGGCUCGAAAGUGCGGGGAUCAAACAGGAUUAGAUACCCUGGUAGUCCGCACCGUAAACGAUGAUUACUCGCUGNGUAGGGCGACGUUAGUGNGUAGNGAAGAGAGUUAAGUUAAUACACGUUGGUAGGACGCGGCGACGGAGACGACGAAGAGAGUUAGAGGCGNGAGACGNGCGACGGACGACGACGACGGGAGGUUAAGGAAG
Molecule: ribosomal RNA, 619 nt
Filed under: uncultured bacterium
Lineage: Bacteria
Description: bacterial SSU rRNA
Rfam family: Bacterial small subunit ribosomal RNA (bases 1-534)
Source: RNAcentral